This 74-nucleotide small nuclear RNA is filed under the name Otolemur garnettii (small-eared galago). RNAcentral's name for it is "U4 spliceosomal RNA". It matches the Rfam family "U4 spliceosomal RNA", at positions 1 to 74 of the family's 138-position model. From Rfam's summary of the family: U4 small nuclear RNA (U4 snRNA) is a component of the major U2-dependent spliceosome. The record is from Rfam by way of RNAcentral. Lineage: Eukaryota; Metazoa; Chordata; Mammalia; Primates; Galagidae.
AGCUUUGCGCAGUGGCAGUAUCAUAGCCAAUGAGGUUUAUCUGAGGUGCAAUUAUUGCUAAUAGAAAUUACAUA